RNAcentral lists this ribosomal RNA (460 nucleotides) under uncultured bacterium. Its description in RNAcentral is "partial 16S ribosomal RNA". It matches the Rfam family "Bacterial small subunit ribosomal RNA", at positions 338 to 795 of the family's 1533-position model. The record is from RNAcentral.
CCUACGGGGGGCAGCAGUGAGGAAUAUUGGUCAAUGGACGCAAGUCUGAACCAGCCAUGCCGCGUGCAGGAAGACGGCUCUAUGAGUUGUAAACUGCUUUUGUACGAGGGUAAACGCAGAUACGCGUAUCUGUCUGAAAGUAUCGUACGAAUAAGGAUCGGCUAACUCCGUGCCAGCAGCCGCGGUAAUACGGAGGAUUCAAGCGUUAUCCGGAUUUAUUGGGUUUAAAGGGUGCGUAGGCGGUCGGAUAAGUUAGAGGUGAAAUCCCGAGGCUCAACUUCGGAAUUGCCUCUGAUACUGUUCGUCUAGAGAGUAGUUGCGGUAGGCGGAAUGUAUGGUGUAGCGGUGAAAUGCUUAGAGAUCAUACAGAACACCGAUUGCGAAGGCAGCUUACCAAGCUACUUCUGACGUUGAGGCACGAAAGCGUGGGGAGCAAACAGGAGUAGAUACCCGAGUAGUC